This 573-nucleotide ribosomal RNA is filed under the name Shewanella sp. RNAcentral describes it as "bacterial SSU rRNA". It matches the Rfam family "Bacterial small subunit ribosomal RNA", at positions 356 to 921 of the family's 1533-position model. The record is from RNAcentral. Lineage: Bacteria; Pseudomonadati; Pseudomonadota; Gammaproteobacteria; Alteromonadales; Shewanellaceae.
UGGGGAUAUUGCACAAUGGGGGAAACCCUGAUGCAGCCAUGCCGCGUGUGUGAAGAAGGCCUUCGGGUUGUAAAGCACUUUCAGUAGGGAGGAAAGGGUGUAGUUUAAUACGCUAUAUCUGUGACGUUACCUACAGAAGAAGGACCGGCUAACUCCGUGCCAGCAGCCGCGGUAAUACGGAGGGUCCGAGCGUUAAUCGGAAUUACUGGGCGUAAAGCGUGCGCAGGCGGUUUGUUAAGCGAGAUGUGAAAGCCCUGGGCUCAACCUAGGAAUAGCAUUUCGAACUGGCGAACUAGAGUCUUGUAGAGGGGGGUAGAAUUCCAGGUGUAGCGGUGAAAUGCGUAGAGAUCUGGAGGAAUACCGGUGGCGAAGGCGGCCCCCUGGACAAAGACUGACGCUCAUGCACGAAAGCGUGGGGAGCAAACAGGAUUAGAUACCCUGGUAGUCCACGCCGUAAACGAUGUCUACUCGGAGUUUGGUGUCUUGAACACUGGGCUCUCAAGCUAACGCAUUAAGUAGACCGCCUGGGGAGUACGGCCGCAAGGUUAAAACUCAAAUGAAUUGACGGGGCCC